GGACUAUACAAGAGAGGGGAGGGAAAGAAAAGAAAAAAAAAACCACCGUCUUCUGUCCACCAUUUUAGAGAGAGAAAAGGAAUUCAUCAGCUGCUCUCCUAUCUGACAUCCAAAUGGAAAAGGCGAGAGACCAGACUGUUUCCUCACUGCAUUAGACGUGAGCGGAAGCAGAAUAGGAAGAGGGCAGGCAGCAGCCAACAAAAGGAGCAAACUCCACCCAUUUCUAUACUAAAGAUUGCAUUAAAAACAGGGAGAGAGAAUUGAAGCCAUGGAGGAAGAGGGAGAAAAGCCACCUUUUCCACAGAGAGAACAACAUAUCAAGUGUUUGCCAUACCAAGGGACCAUCCCCUCUGUCUCAGGUUCUUGGUGUCUUCCUCGUCUCAGUGGCCGUGCUACUCAUUUCUGCCAGCACAUUAAUGACAAAACUCGGUGCCUAACACUGGGAGUUUAGAUGCAACAAAAUAAGCUGGUCAGUGCCCCAGAGUUUAUGAGAAGGGACAAAGCAUCUUGACAGUACUACAGAACAGUUAAGUCUCAAGGAAAACAAGAAGAUUCUUUUAUAUUGUUUCUAUUUCAGCCUGGGCAGGGCUAGAUCACAGCAAGUCUUGACAACCCUCCUUGUUCAAACACAGGUCUAUUUGCUUUAAUUAAAAAGCUAGGGAAAGAGUUAAAACUAUGAAAUGCUUGACUGAGGAUGAAUUUAUGUCCUUGUUACUCUCAUCCUGGAUAUUUCUUCUAUUAAAUACUUCACAUGUAGACUGAGGAAUGGGUACUGAGGCCCUUAGUCCCUUCUUACCAUUUGGAGGACUGCUGUAACAGAAAAAGCAAUGUCCUAUGCUAAUACCUAACUAUGGGAACUCAGCAGGCAGCCUCUAAGCCACUAAUCUGAACAUAAUCCAGCUCUACCUUUGAGCAGCACCACAAAGGCAAAGCAGGGGUAUUCAUCCUCACUCAUACAUGUGCAUUUAUUUGAGUAUUAGCUGAGAAAUUAUAUAGGUUGGUAAGAUCACUGUUUCCUGAAUAGUAGCAAAUCCAUACAUACAAAGAUUGGGAGAUUGUUGUGCAAUUUGAUUUACUUUAUUGAGUAAUAGUCUGAUAGCUACAAUGGUGAAUCAGAAGAAAAGAAAAAAAAAACCUAAG
Aquila chrysaetos chrysaetos is the source of this 1140-nucleotide long non-coding RNA. RefSeq lists it as uncharacterized. The transcript is spliced from 2 exons. NCBI's taxonomy places the organism in Eukaryota, Metazoa, Chordata, Aves, Accipitriformes, Accipitridae. The record is from RefSeq and is a predicted model, not a curated record.